GUGUAGCUCUGUGGUAGAGCACUUGUCUGGCAUGCAGGAGGCUCUGGGUUGUCCCCAGCAC
Molecule: transfer RNA, 61 nt
Filed under: Ictidomys tridecemlineatus (thirteen-lined ground squirrel)
Lineage: Eukaryota; Metazoa; Chordata; Mammalia; Rodentia; Sciuridae
Description: Spermophilus tridecemlineatus (thirteen-lined ground squirrel) tRNA
Rfam family: tRNA
About the family: Transfer RNA (tRNA) molecules are approximately 80 nucleotides in length. Their secondary structure includes four short double-helical elements and three loops (D, anti-codon, and T loops). Further hydrogen bonds mediate the characteristic L-shaped molecular structure. tRNAs have two regions of fundamental functional importance: the anti-codon, which is responsible for specific mRNA codon recognition, and the 3' end, to which the tRNAs corresponding amino acid is attached (by aminoacyl-tRNA synthetases). tRNAs cope with the degeneracy of the genetic code in two manners: having more than one tRNA (with a specific anti-codon) for a particular amino acid; and 'wobble' base-pairing, i.e. permitting non-standard base-pairing at the 3rd anti-codon position.
Source: Rfam by way of RNAcentral